CAAACCUGGGUAAGUGAGAACUGGAUAAGUGAGAAAACUCUAUAAGUGAGAGUAAUAGCCAGGACCCGUCAUUUUAAGCACCCAAAACCUCUAUUAGCGAGAAACAGACACCUCUGUAAGAGAGAGUCGUUUUUCCCUCAUGGACCUCCGUAAGUGAGACUGCUACUUAUCUAUACCUCUAUAAGCGACAGUCAAGCUUUAUUUAUUUAUAUUAUUUAGAGGGAACAAAUGACAAAGCAAAUUACAAAUUUAACAUCUGCUAUUUUAUGACUCAUUCUUAUAUUCGUGGAACUUCCUACCGUUGUUUUUGUAUUGUUUUCUCGUCAAUAUUGAACCUAUUCUAUUUCGUGCUUCGAUCAACAAUAGUAACUAGAUUUCGGGUCGGUGCAUAAAAUCCGUCUCGUCAAAUAACAGCGCACUUGAAAUGUGAGCUCUUAUUUUGUUUAGUUCACUUCAAACACAGCCAAUGUCAACCCGUCUCACAAUACCGCAGUGUGUAUUCAAAAGUUGCAAAAAUAAGGCCCGAAAAAGCAAUUUAACGGCCGGAAUAUCUUACUUUCGCUUUCCUAGCAAUCACAUGUACAAAAUGGAUCUCGAUUGUCGCCAGAGAAACAAGAGAUGACUUUUAUAAGCCAGCUAAGAUCUCCCCUUAUUGACACUGGACAUCUUUGCCUUCCGUGCUCACGGCUACUGAAACGUGGCCGAAACAUUGUAAUAAAAAUACCACGCUUGAAACCGUUUAAA
Long non-coding RNA from Bombyx mori (domestic silkworm), 744 nucleotides. RefSeq lists it as uncharacterized. The record is from RefSeq and is a predicted model, not a curated record. The transcript is spliced from 2 exons. Lineage: Eukaryota; Metazoa; Arthropoda; Insecta; Lepidoptera; Bombycidae.